GCGAAAACAGUUGGUACAAAAAUAGUGGCAUCAGAGGCAGGGCUAGGAGCUGGGCCUUCCUGAGCAGCCACAUUCUGAGCAGCAGAAACCGCCAUGAGAACAACCACAAUGGCCACAAAUACUCUCAUUUUCAAUGCCUCCAUCGUAGAUUUUCCUGUUUGGUGGAAGAAAAAAACGAAAUUUUCCCAAGAAAGUUAGGUAUUUAGAAGAUGGGAAAAUUUGUGGAGGCAGAAAGAAAUUGGAAC
Molecule: unclassified non-coding RNA, 245 nt
Filed under: Hevea brasiliensis (rubber tree)
Lineage: Eukaryota; Viridiplantae; Streptophyta; Magnoliopsida; Malpighiales; Euphorbiaceae
Source: RNAcentral